GCAGAGCCGACUGCAUAGGAUUCGGCGGGUCGCUGCCUGGGAAGCACCGGGAGGCGGGUGCCUCGUGCAAGGGUGCUCCGGAGAGUCAGCAAGGACCGCUCUCGCCAACGAACACGUGCACGGAGAGGCGACACUGCGAAGCCGUUCCGCACACGCGUCAUCUGGACGUCACUCUGGCCGGGUCCCAUGCAGAAAGGGAAAAGCUGCGGCGAGGACUGAACGAGGUCAUGCGCUUGAUGUCCCAGCAGCGGUGGGCAUCCAGGAAGGGAGGGGAAGAGACGCAGAAACACAUGCAGAGGUGACAGCUGUGUGAUGCUGGAGGCAGAGGCUCCUGGAGUGACUCAGAGGAAGACGAGGCACACCAAAGAUGUCCGGCUGACCCUGCAAGCUGGGAGGAGGCAGGAGAGAUUUCACGCAGAGUCUCAGAGGAGCAGAGCUCUGUCGACGCCUGGGUUCAGACUUCCAGCCUCCAGAACUUGAGCGAAUAUGUGUGUGCUGUGUGAAGCCCCCAGUCUGGGACACUCUGCUGCAGGGGCCCCGCAAAUGAAUACGGGGCGAGUCCCCUAACUCCUCACCUUGCAGGCGGACCGCCUGAGGCUCCAGAAGGGGCAGGGGCUCACCUGAGGUCCCAAGCAAGUGGGAGGCGGAGGCGAGACUUGAAUCACGGUCCCGCUGACUCGGAGGCCAGUGCUCACCUCACACUGUAACUCCUUCCCCGAGUGUGUGGCAGCCUGGGCUGGUGCCGCCGUGCUCCCAUCUGGACAGGGACUACGUCUGGCUCAACACCUGGGCAGCAGGUGCAAGCCGAGCCGCGGGGGGCUCGGGUGUAGGAUGCUCCAGAAACCAAGGUGGGAAAAAGUGCAUGUGGUGCGGGAGGAAGGGGAGAGAGACGGAGAAAAGCGAUUAACACUGACUGGGCUGAGUGCCGGGUCUUCUGCACAUCAUCUCAUUUACAUCCCACAACAACCUUUUGGCGUAAGUAUCAUUAUCCUCAUUUUUCAGAUGGAAAACUGAGUUUCAGAGAAGCUAAGUGACCCUCCCAUAAACUGUACAGCUGGAGAUUUGAAGCCAC
This 1072-nucleotide long non-coding RNA is filed under the name Equus caballus (horse). RNAcentral describes it as "lncRNA (ENSECAG00000050640.1)". The record is from RNAcentral. Lineage: Eukaryota; Metazoa; Chordata; Mammalia; Perissodactyla; Equidae.